GUAUGCGAAUCAAUCAUUGCACCUUUGGUAGAACUUGUUGAACAUUCUCCUUCAGAACAGCAUCCAGCCACUUCCCAGCAACAGCAGUAUUUAAAACAACCAGGUCAGCCUUAAGAGCUGUAUCUAUGGCACUCUGACCUUUUGCAGACAAGACCUAACAAUAAAUAAAAUUCAUCAUCAGGAAGACCAUAAACGAAGUCAUCAAAAUUACAAAGAAUAUCAGUUUCUCUAUUUCAGAAAAAAAGAAAGACAAUCCCAGGAUUAGUCUAGCUGGUAAGCAGGUUGGCUCUCCAUCUUAUUCCUGGGGUUCUAAUAUUGGGGCUAGACCACAAAGGAGCUAUUUCUUUUUCUUGAAAAUCCCUUAUCCCUAGAGUGGCAGUCUGCCUUUGACAAGACCAAGGCAGUUGAAUCAUGGUGCACAAAGUUGGCCCCUGGACUCCUCGGUCCAACAUUUUAUGCUCCAAACUGUAGAUCACCUCAUCAGGUUCCACCGGUUUCUGGUUAGUUAUCCAAACAACUUGGGAACCAACACCUCUUAACAGAAACGCCAACUCCAUCAACAACAAAGGACCACCAGAAAGAGAAAGCUCGUGGGAUACAAGGAGAACGAGUUUCGACUUCAUGAAAUCAAGAGGAUUCGGAGCAACACUGGGUCUAUGAGAAGCGGAGUAAAAUUGAGCUUUUGGAACUUCAUUUGCUUCUCUAAAAUGGUGAUUAGUACUGCUAGGGGUAGAAUGACAGGAAUCGAAGGCAGAUCUCAUGAAAAACACCAUUACAGUUGAUAGAGUGAACAAU
This 795-nucleotide unclassified non-coding RNA is filed under the name Hevea brasiliensis (rubber tree). The record is from RNAcentral. Lineage: Eukaryota; Viridiplantae; Streptophyta; Magnoliopsida; Malpighiales; Euphorbiaceae.